GCUUUCUUUAGCAACGCGCACACUAAAAUUGGAACAGCAUACAGAAGAUUAGCACUGCCUUGUGCAAGAAUGAUACACAAAUUUGUGAAGCGAUCCAAUUUAUU
Small nuclear RNA from Hypanus sabinus (Atlantic stingray), 104 nucleotides. NCBI's taxonomy places the organism in Eukaryota, Metazoa, Chordata, Chondrichthyes, Myliobatiformes, Dasyatidae. The record is from RefSeq and is a predicted model, not a curated record.